CAGCAGCCGCGGUAAUACGGAGGGGGCUAGCGUUGUUCGGAAUCACUGGGCGUAAAGCGCACGUAGGCGGCUAUUCAAGUCAGGGGUGAAAGCCCGGGGCUCAACCCCGGAACUGCCUUUGAAACUAGAUAGCUUGAAUCUUGGAGAGGCGAGUGGAAUUCCGAGUGUAGAGGUGAAAUUCGUAGAUAUUCGGAAGAACACCAGUGGCGAAGGCGACUCGCUGGACAAGUAUUGACGCUGAGGUGCGAAAGCGUGGGGAGCAAACAGGAUUAGAUACCCGUGUAGUCCCUGUCUCUUAUAC
RNAcentral lists this ribosomal RNA (301 nucleotides) under uncultured bacterium. RNAcentral describes it as "partial 16S ribosomal RNA". It matches the Rfam family "Bacterial small subunit ribosomal RNA", at positions 509 to 807 of the family's 1533-position model. The record is from RNAcentral.